Long non-coding RNA from Perca fluviatilis (European perch), 395 nucleotides. RefSeq lists it as uncharacterized. The record is from RefSeq and is a predicted model, not a curated record. Lineage: Eukaryota; Metazoa; Chordata; Actinopteri; Perciformes; Percidae. The transcript is spliced from 3 exons.
GAGACAGUGUGGAUAAUAACGUAUUGCAGGAGUCAGGACUUUUCCACGGUGAUUCACAUUCAGCUUUCACUUAAGGCAAGAUGGAAGAAAGGAGGAUACCAAGAUAAGAAGAUCAAGGAGAUACAGAAAGCUAAAUUUGACAAGGGUCAACAGACCAGACAGCUGUCCCCCAGCCAGCCUGAGAACCUGCUUUACGGUCUUAAUAGCCUGGGUGAAGACUCGGGCAUCAGAUGGCUGAGAAAAGGAUAGCCCAGAGCAAGAGGGAGCCCAGCAGAGGCUAAGAAGGAAGCAGCAAAGGAGUUCACAAACCCACAUACAGCUGAAGGAGGUACCGAAUGACAUGCGGGGUCCAUUUCAGAAAGCAGGUUUAGUGAAAACUCUGAGUUUGCUAACCC